CAGCCACAUCCGGUCGGCCCUACUGACACCUCACUAAACUCCACCUCGCUGGAAAAAAAGAAAAAUGUUGAAAAAAAAAAAAAAACGUCACAAAAGGAGUGAAAAAGUUUAUCACUACAUGUAAUAGCAACACGUUCAGAUGCUGUAUUUUUUUGUGUGUUUUAUUUUCUGUCAUGUUUCACCUCGCUGUUAUUUUUGUGAUGGCUGCGUUAUUUCAUGAUCUGUUUUGGCUGUGUUUUAUUGGGUCAUUCGACGUCUUGUAACCUGAUCUUUCUGAGAAGAGAGGAGUUAAAUCUCCAGGUGACGCCUGUUUGAAGGUCAGGAGUUGUAAUAUGUACUGGAAAACUGUAUAUUUGUCAGUAGUUCAUACUGAAUUUUAACAUUUGGGAUUAAUACUAUUUCUUGAAAAUGUGUCACAAAGUGUAUAUCUUGGUAGGUUUUUAAACAUUGACUUGUUACACUAAUAAUGGUCAGACCACAACGGUCAUUAGUCACAGUUAUGUAAUAGGCCUUCAUGAGGUGUACAGUUUUGUAAGAUAUUGUAAAUAUGACUGGUUUCUGGGUGGGAGGGUUCUGCUAAUUUUUGUUUCUGGGAGGUGGGAGGCUUUUGGACAAAUUGCUUCUUUCAUCAAACCUUAUGUGUUGGAAAGCUUGGUUGUUACGUAUGAUAGUGUCACACGGAGGUCAAGAACAUUUCGGCUUGUCUGUCUAUGUUAGACCAGCCAUAUACUGUAUUUCUCUCCAGGCGUUUAUAAAUAAUGAUGUGUCAUGUGAGUCUUUUAUCAAAUUCAGAAGCUGCCUCAGAGUUGAAACCCUCUGAGUUGAGCAGGAGAGAGGCUGGAUCAACACUACUUACUACUUUUGAGGAGAUAAGGUGUGGAAAACACUCCUCUGUCAGGAGAGGAAAUAAAAACAUGCUAUUUUCUUACUUUUAUCAUAUUGUUGUUUUAACUGUGAUUUUCAAUAAGUGAUGAUUGUUUGUGAAGGGAAAUGAAGGAGGAGUAUGUAGGAGCAGUCGCACACGUUAGUGACGACUGAGUCCCUCUGCAGGUUGUGUUGAUGUUUGCGUGAGCUUGUCAUAUGGUUUUACACACAUUGGUU
This is a long non-coding RNA of Amphiprion ocellaris (clown anemonefish), 1101 nucleotides long. Lineage: Eukaryota; Metazoa; Chordata; Actinopteri; Pomacentridae. The record is from Ensembl.